Ostrea edulis (European flat oyster) is the source of this 754-nucleotide long non-coding RNA. RefSeq lists it as uncharacterized. The transcript is spliced from 2 exons. The record is from RefSeq and is a predicted model, not a curated record. Lineage: Eukaryota; Metazoa; Mollusca; Bivalvia; Ostreida; Ostreidae.
CAUUACCAUUCAUUAUGUGAAGCAUUGUCAAGCAAUGUUGGAGCAUGGAGUAUGUGAGCUUUCCUGCUUUCAUUUUCUUAGAAAUAAUAGUGGAUCUAAGAGGGGUGGAGGAUGUUAGAAUAACUAAUUGUUGACACUUCUCCUAUAUGGCUUAUCUGAUAGACUUGAAAUUUUGUACAAUAGGUCAAUGCCAUUUGCAGAUGUGCAUUUGUAGGGACAGGAGUAUGCAUUUGUUAUCCUUAAGUUAUCCAUCCUUAAAGUUAAGAGUGAAUCUGAGGGGUGGAGGGUGUAAAAUAUAGUUUGUGAACAUGUCUUCUAUGUGGCUUAUCAGAGUUCAUAAUGUCUAUGUUCCUGCUCGUGCUUUCUCCUCCAUACCAUGCAGUACAUUUAGGGGAAGAUUUCAUUUGGAGCAAUUAUUAUGGUUCCAAUUCAUUUUUCAUAUGAACAAUCUCUAAUUUGGAAAUGCAAUCCUACUAUUAAAUGUGUCUUAACGUAGUUGGAAGAUCUUAUUCAGAUAAUGCAGUGAAAGGCAGUUGACCAGUGGUUCCGUGUGUCCAGCUUGUUUAUUGGUUGUGACUUUGGGACAAAGAUGCGACUAUUAACUUGUAUCAAGGCUACAGCCAAUGAUAGCUGAGACAAUGGAACCCUGGGAGACGCCCUUCUUGCACUUAAAAGUAUUAUGAGUUUGUUUAUUGUCAAAUUUGUAAAGGUAAGUCCAUUAAAAUGUCGAAAAUGCCCUAAUUCAGUUAUAAAA